Molecule: ribosomal RNA, 1372 nt
Filed under: uncultured bacterium
Lineage: Bacteria
Description: bacterial SSU rRNA
Rfam family: Bacterial small subunit ribosomal RNA
Source: RNAcentral
GAUGAACGCUGGCGGCGUGCCUAAUACAUGCAAGUCGAGCGAACGGACGAGAAGCUUGCUUCUCUGAUGUUAGCGGCGGACGGGUGAGUAACACGUGGAUAACCUACCUAUAAGACUGGGAUAACUUCGGGAAACCGGAGCUAAUACCGGAUGAUAUUUUGAACCGCAUGGUUCAAAAGUGAAAGACGGUCUUGCUGUCACUUAUAGAUGGAUCCGCGCUGCAUUAGCUAGUUGGUAAGGUAACGGCUUACCAAGGCAACGAUGCAUAGCCGACCUGAGAGGGUGAUCGGCCACACUGGAACUGAGACACGGUUCAGACUCCUACGGGAGGCAGCAGUAGGGAAUCUUCCGCAAUGGGCGAAAGCCUGACGGAGCAACGCCGCGUGAGUGAUGAAGGUCUUCGGAUCGUAAAACUCUGUUAUUAGGGAAGAACAUAUGUGUAAGUAACUGUGCACAUCUUGACGGUACCUAAUCAGAAAGCCACGGCUAACUACGUGCCAGCAGCCGCGGUAAUACGUAGGUGGCAAGCGUUAUCCGGAAUUAUUGGGCGUAAAGCGCGCGUAGGCGGUUUUUUAAGUCUGAUGUGAAAGCCCACGGCUCAACCGUGGAGGGUCAUUGGAAACUGGAAAACUUGAGUGCAGAAGAGGAAAGUGGAAUUCCAUGUGUAGCGGUGAAAUGCGCAGAGAUAUGGAGGAACACCAGUGGCGAAGGCGACUUUCUGGUCUGUAACUGACGCUGAUGUGCGAAAGCGUGGGGAUCAAACAGGAUUAGAUACCCUGGUAGUCCACGCCGUAAACGAUGAGUGCUAAGUGUUAGGGGGUUUCCGCCCCUUAGUGCUGCAGCUAACGCAUUAAGCACUCCGCCUGGGGAGUACGACCGCAAGGUUGAAACUCAAAGGAAUUGACGGGGACCCGCACAAGCGGUGGAGCAUGUGGUUUAAUUCGAAGCAACGCGAAGAACCUUACCAAAUCUUGACAUCCUUUGACAACUCUAGAGAUAGAGCCUUCCCCUUCGGGGGACAAAGUGACAGGUGGUGCAUGGUUGUCGUCAGCUCGUGUCGUGAGAUGUUGGGUUAAGUCCCGCAACGAGCGCAACCCUUAAGCUUAGUUGCCAUCAUUAAGUUGGGCACUCUAAGUUGACUGCCGGUGACAAACCGGAGGAAGGUGGGGAUGACGUCAAAUCAUCAUGCCCCUUAUGAUUUGGGCUACACACGUGCUACAAUGGACAAUACAAAGGGCAGCGAAACCGCGAGGUCAAGCAAAUCCCAUAAAGUUGUUCUCAGUUCGGAUUGUAGUCUGCAACUCGACUACAUGAAGCUGGAAUCGCUAGUAAUCGUAGAUCAGCAUGCUACGGUGAAUACGUUCCCGGGUCU